RNAcentral lists this ribosomal RNA (253 nucleotides) under uncultured bacterium. RNAcentral's name for it is "partial 16S ribosomal RNA". It matches the Rfam family "Bacterial small subunit ribosomal RNA", at positions 524 to 776 of the family's 1533-position model. The record is from RNAcentral.
UACGGAGGGUGCAAGCGUUAAUCGGAAUUACUGGGCGUAAAGCGUGCGUAGGCGGUUUGCUAAGUCAGAUGUGAAAGCCCCGGGCUUAACCUGGGAACGGCAUUUGAAACUGGUUAACUAGAGUUUAGUAGAGGGGAGUGGAAUUUCAGGUGUAGCGGUGAAAUGCGUAGAUAUCUGAAGGAACACCAGUGGCGAAGGCGACUCCCUGGACUAGAACUGACGCUGAGGUACGAAAGCGUGGGUAGCAAACAGG